This is a long non-coding RNA of Homo sapiens (human), 557 nucleotides long. RefSeq lists it as uncharacterized. NCBI's taxonomy places the organism in Eukaryota, Metazoa, Chordata, Mammalia, Primates, Hominidae. The record is from RefSeq and is a predicted model, not a curated record. The transcript is spliced from 2 exons.
UUAUUUUUUAUUUUUUCCCUUGAAACAGGGUAUCACUACUCUGUCACCACCCAGGCUGGAAUGCAGUAGUGCAAUCAGGGGCCACUGCAGCCUCGACCUCCUCAAGUGAUCUUCCCACCUCAGCUUCCUGAGUAGCUGGGACCACGGCUGGGAUCACAUAACACCACACUCAACUAAUUAAAAAAAUUUUUUUUUUGUUUUUUAUAUUUAAGACUUUAAUCUUCAAGGGACUGAUUUUAACUAUGAUAUACAUUCCGUAUCAAUGCUAGAAUCGGCCUGUACAGUCUCUCAAAGAAAAUUCUGUGGAGAUUUCAAUUGGAAAUGCACUGAAUUUAUAUAUGAAUUUGGGUAGAAUUGAUACUCUUAUGAUAUUGACUUUCCUAUCCAUUUCUCUCUCAAGAUUUUUUCGUGAAUUUCAGUAAAUCUUUUGAUAAACAUAUUCCUAUGUGUAGUCUAUGACUGCCAUUGCUAUUACGAAUGGUAUCUUUUCUUUUUGCAUUAUAUUUUCUAAGUAUUCCUUGUUGGUGUGAAAUAAACUUUUCAUUCUUUUGUUUGGA